Molecule: small nucleolar RNA, 162 nt
Filed under: Sciurus vulgaris (Eurasian red squirrel)
Lineage: Eukaryota; Metazoa; Chordata; Mammalia; Rodentia; Sciuridae
Description: Small nucleolar RNA SNORA73 family (ENSSVLG00005014964.1)
Rfam family: Small nucleolar RNA SNORA73 family
About the family: U17 (SNORA73A and SNORA73B) also known as E1 belongs to the H/ACA class of small nucleolar RNAs (snoRNAs). Vertebrate U17 is intron-encoded and ranges in length from 200-230 nucleotides, longer than most snoRNAs.
Source: Rfam by way of RNAcentral
CUAUGGAUGGCUGUCCGGGUGGCAUAGGGGAGCAUAGGGCUCUUGCCCCUUUCCACAACUUUGGAGAUGAAGCUGGGCUUUGUGUCUGCGCCUGCACAUUCCUACAACUUCUCAGAGUCUUGUGGACAGUGACUGAGGAGACAAACCAUGCAGGAAACAAAG